Long non-coding RNA from Clupea harengus (Atlantic herring), 264 nucleotides. The record is from Ensembl. NCBI's taxonomy places the organism in Eukaryota, Metazoa, Chordata, Actinopteri, Clupeiformes, Clupeidae.
UUCUUUCCUUUCUUCUUUCCUUUCUUUACUCUUCUUUCCUUUCUUAUUUCCUUCUUUCACUCUUCUUUCUUUUCUUCUUCCUUUCUUAACUUUUGCAUUUCAUGCACUGGUAUUUCCUUCAGGAAAUGCAUUUUCUAGAAAUGCAUUUUCUAGUUAUUAUUCUCUUUACCGACUUCUGCGCUUAAUUCAGCUCGAACCGCUUAACUUAAAAACUUCGUUCAAACUUUGGCGCGUAGGUCUUGUAAAGGACACUUAUGCUAUGUA